GGCUAGGGGUCAAAUCAGAGCUACAGCUGCUGGCCUACACCACAGCUCACGGCGGUGACCGAUCCUUAACCCACUGAGCGAGGCCAGGGAUCAAACGCGCAUCCGCAUGGAUCCUAGUUGGGUUUGUUACCUGCUGAGCCACAAAGGGAACUCCUCUCCCCAACUUUUGAGCGUCACUCACCCACCUGUCUUCCCUUGGGUCUGCAUCAGCCUGGCCCUGACCUUCUUCUGCAGAAAUCCCCCCAGCCUCCUGGGCAGCAGCGGCAGAAGGCUGUCGAGUACAGGGCUGGCUCCCCCCCAACUUUCAUGUCCCUGUUGAAGACGGUGGAUGGCGAGACGAACCAGCCCCUGGAUGUGUCUGUCAAGGUCACCACCGGCAGCUAUGAGUUUCAAAAGAAAAGAGAUCUGAGCCUCCUCCUCAAGCCUGGCCUCUUGGCAUCGUGGUCCAACGCCCAUCACCCCGGAGAGAACAGAAGCCGGUUGAGCACAGCUCGACCCUGCUCAGAACCUCAAAGCCCAGCAGCAGAACCUGGUCCCCUUCCUGGAAUCAGACUAUGACCGGCGGAUGCAGCAAUAGGCCCUGCAUCCCGUGCGUGUCACCCGCACCCAGAGGCGGCUCCAGACACCCAGUUCCUGCCCGUGCCUUUCCUUCUCCCACAUCCCGGAGGAGAGGACCCUGCCAAGAGGAGCAGCAUUGAUUCAAUGCAGCAGGAGCACAGAGAUGAGCCCAAAUCUCGACGAAAGAGGGGCCCUGACGCAGUGCCCCUUUCUCACUUGGCCCCCAGUCCACCGUCUAGUUCCUGGCGGACCACAGACCAGAGGUCACCGUUCUCGCCAAGAUCAAACGUCACGCCGGUCUGUGGUGGGGCAUCAGCCCUGCCAACCGGGCAGCAAUGGUCCAGGAGCUCGCCAAUGCCACGGCCAGCUCCAACGCCGCGUCCUGGACCGUUCAGAGGUAACCUGGCACCACCCGAACCCACAGCCCUCUGAGCUCCCCGGCUCUUUGCGAGACUUCCAGGUAAACAUCAGGACCUUCCGAGUCCACAGCAGCAGAAAAGUGUAAGGACUAACCUUGAAUGAGGACCGCGUGGCUGUCAGGUUUGGGGGGAAGGCGUUUAGAACUUUAUUAUAACGGGCUGCAGUGAUGCGCUAGCUGAAGAAGAAUCAACCGUGUAUAUUUACGAGAGCACCUCUGUCGUCCCAGAGAGGCCCCUCACGGCCUUUCUCGUCCGGAUCCACGCACGCAGGGCUCUGCUUUCCAUCACCGUGGGGCAGUGCUCUCUGUCCCUGAACUUCACAUGCCCAGACCGUGGACCUGCGCUCACCUGGACAGCUGCGCUUUUGAGAUGCGUCCAUACUGUCGCAUGCAUGCGUUGUCUUUUCAAUGUGCUGAGUGAUAUCUCGUGCCUACAUUCGACGGCUUUCCAUUCUGGUGGACAUUUGCGUUGUACCCAUUUUUAAGGCACAUGUUCCCUUUUCUCCUGAGAAAACACCUAGGAAGAAUCGUUUCAUGACGUUUAGCCUUUUAAGGAACUUAGAAGCAGUUUCCAAAGUGGAUGUGCCCUCUCGGCUCCCACCAGCAAUGUGCAAGGUUCCAGUUACUCCGCAUCCGCGCUGGCAGCAGGCAUGGUCCGCUUUGGGCGUUCAUUCGGCCGUUCCGGCUGUCCAUACGGUGAAUUGAAUUAUUUUCUCAUGUUUGACCAGUUUUGCGUUCUCAGGAUAAACCCCGUUUGGAAUUUCCAUGACGACACUACUAGAUCUUUCCAUAUUGACUAACAAAUCCACGAGGACGUCAUUUUUGGAAACGCCUUCUUUCAGUUCCUUGAAUUAGAUCGCUUUCAUUGACCUGUUUUGGAGUUUAUGGGCUCUUUCCUCUGUCACCUUCGUUCUGCUACCAGCCUAUUCAGUGUAUCUCCUGUACCUUGCAUCUCGGUUCUAGAAUUUUUAUUUCUUUUUUAAUCAACUUUUUCUUUAAUUUUACACUUACAGGAGGUUUUGCAAAGAUAGGAGAAAAUGUAUCCAAAUGCCCCUCUGUUUUCCUUCAUGUUAACAUCUUUCUUUACAAAGAACCAUGGUAUGUUUUUCAAAACUGAAGUUGGUAUGUUACACUAGCUAAACUCCAGACUGUGUUCAGAUUUCACCAGUUUUUACAUGAAUGUGGUUUUUUUUUUUUUGUUCCAAGAUUCAAUCCAGGAGACCACAUCGCAUUUAGAGAUUCUUGGUUACAGUUUGUCUGUCUUUGCCAAAACUUCUGUUUUUCCACUCAUUUCAAGGCUGUCCAGCUUUACCUCAUGAAGGGUAAUUAGAACAGCUGCCUCCAAGUUCACGUCUGAUAAUUCCCACAUCUGGGUCAUUUUGGGGUUGUCAUCUUUUGAUUGCCUUUCCCCUUGGGUUUUGGUCAGAUUUUCCUGGUUCUUGAGUGCUGAGCAAUGCUCAAUUUUUUAUCUUGGACAUGUUGUUUGUUUGUGUUAUGUGAGAAGACUGGAUCCUAUUAAAAACACCCUGGAGAAUG
RNAcentral lists this long non-coding RNA (2512 nucleotides) under Sus scrofa (pig). RNAcentral's name for it is "lncRNA (ENSSSCG00005002283.1)". Lineage: Eukaryota; Metazoa; Chordata; Mammalia; Artiodactyla; Suidae. The record is from RNAcentral.